CCUACGGGUGGCUGCAGUAAGGAAUAUUGGUCAAUGGACGAAAGUCUGAACCAGCCAUGCCGCGUGAAGGAUGAAGGUCCUCUGGAUUGUAAACUUCUUUUAUCUGGGACGAAAAAAGGGAAUUCUUUCUCACUUGACGGUACCAGAAGAAUAAGCACCGGCUAACUCCGUGCCAGCAGCCGCGGUAAUACGGAGGGUGCCAGCGUUACCCGGAUUAACUGGGUCUAAGGGGGGCAGUUAUGGGCGGUUAGAAAUCUCCGGGCUUAACCCGGAAACUGCCAUGGAUACUAUCUGUCUUGAAUACUCUGGAGGUAAGCGGAAUAUGUCAUGUAGCGGUGAAAUGCUUAGAUAUGACAUAGAACACCGAUUGCGAAGGCAGCUUACUACGGAGUCAUUGACACUGAGGCACGAAAGCGUGGGGAUCAAACAGGAUUAGAUACCCCGGUAGUC
This 450-nucleotide ribosomal RNA is filed under the name uncultured bacterium. RNAcentral describes it as "partial 16S ribosomal RNA". It matches the Rfam family "Bacterial small subunit ribosomal RNA", at positions 338 to 795 of the family's 1533-position model. The record is from RNAcentral.